RNAcentral lists this ribosomal RNA (462 nucleotides) under Exanthemachrysis gayraliae. RNAcentral's name for it is "partial Bacterial large subunit ribosomal RNA". It matches the Rfam family "Bacterial large subunit ribosomal RNA", at positions 1976 to 2438 of the family's 2925-position model. The record is from RNAcentral. Lineage: Eukaryota; Haptophyta; Pavlovophyceae; Pavlovales; Pavlovaceae.
GUAAGUUCCGACCUGCACGAAUGGAGUAACGAUUUCCCUACUGUCUCCACCAUGAACUCGGUGAAAUUGCAUUACGAGUAAAGAUGCUCGUUACGCGCAGCAGGACGGAAAGACCCCGGGACCUUUACUAUAGUUUGGUAUUGGUGAUUGGGACGGUUUGUGUAGGAUAGGUGGGAGACGUUGAUGCGGCCACGCUAGUGGUGGUGGAGUCGUUGGUGAAAUACCACUCUGAUUGUUCUGGUUAUCUCACUGUGGACCGUGAUCCGGUUCAAGGACAGUGCCUGAUGGGUAGUUUGACUGGGGCGGUCGCCUCCUAAAGAGUAACGGAGGCUUCUAAAGGUGUCCUCAGCACGCUUGGUAACCGUGCGCAGAGUGCAAUGGCACAAGGACGCUUGACUGUGAGACUGACAAGUCGAGCAGGUACGAAAGUAGAGCAUAGUGAUCCGGUGGUUCCGUAUGGAA